RNAcentral lists this ribosomal RNA (1596 nucleotides) under uncultured eukaryote. Its description in RNAcentral is "partial 18S ribosomal RNA". It matches the Rfam family "Eukaryotic small subunit ribosomal RNA", at positions 569 to 1466 of the family's 1831-position model. The record is from RNAcentral.
AGCAGCCGCGGUAACACCAGCUCCACUAGCCUAUACAAUCAUUGUUGCGGUUAAGAGGCUCGUAGUUGGAUUGAACGAUUACAUACAUCUGUUUUUAAAUUUAUUGCAAAAUAUUUUUAUACUACAAAACAGAAUGUUGUAAGAUUCGCAUUAAAUAAAAAAAAAAUACUUUUUUUUCACCCACACACACAGUUGAAAAUUAAAUCAUAUUUUUUUUUUUGCAGCGAAACUUGUCAAUUUUAUAAAAACCAUAUUUCAACACUGUGAACAAAUCAGAGUGUAUCAAACAUGUCGUUUUCGAAUGUGCAUUGAAUGUCUUAUCAUGGAACGUUGCUUUGUACAUUUUUAAAUUUUUUACACACACACACUAUAUAAAAUAUGACAAUUUUUUUGCAAAUUUUAAAAUAUUUUUCUUAUUUUUGCCUUUGCGCAAAAGUGUAAAAAAUGUACUUUUAUGUCGAUGGGGAUAGUUGGAGCCAAGAGUACUGCUGGGCGAGAGGUGAAAUUCGUUGACCCUAGCAAGACUACCAAAAGCGAAAGCACUUGGCUAGGCUACACCCUUUGUGUCGUUUUUUUAUUGCUUUACAACUGUACUUCUAAUUUUUUUACACACACACAAAAAUAUAGUGCAGCAUGUUGUUAUUGUAGUAAAAUAAAAAAACACUUUACAAUGAAGAACGAAGGUUGGGGGAUCAAAGAGGAUCAGAUACCCUCGUCGUCCCAUUCGUACAUCAAACGAUGGCUCUCAAUUGCAUAUACUAAGUCUAGUUUAUGCCCUCAACUGCAAAUUUGACUGAGCUAUCCUCCGAUACUGCUCGUCAGUUGUAUACUGGUUUCGAUGGACAUUUUUCUGAACUAUCUAAUUUGACGUGAUACGUAAUAUUUAAUAUUCGUUCACUUGAUUUUAGGAGCUUUGCGCUCAAUUGGUGAGAUGUAAGCACUUUGUAAUCUGCCCUCAAGACAAGCGGAUUUACUACGGGUAUCUGCUGUGUUUUGCUGUGUGUAGUUUUACAUACUUUGCGCGAUGCACGCUUUAGGCACGCGCUUACUGCAGAAAUGUCUGAGACAUUCCCCUCCGGGGGUAGUAUGCACGCAAGUGUGAAACUUGAAGGAAUUGACGGAAGGGCACCACAAGAACGCGUGGAGCAUGUGGCUUAAUUUGACUCAACGCGGGAAAUCUUACCGGGUCCGGACACACUGAGGAUUGACAGGCAAAAGAUACAAGUUUUUUCGGGAAUUUGCAUUGUAAAAUAUGCGAGUCCUUUCAUGAUUAUGUGAUAGGUGGUGCAUGGCCGUUCUUAGUUCGUGGAGUGAUCUGUCUGCUUAAUUGCGUUUCACAACGAUUUAAAAUGCUAUGUUUCCGCGUUUGCUGUUCGGUUCUUACCUUCGGGUUUAACUUUGAACGCACGUGGCGUAGUUUAAAACAAUCGGAAAGCAACGAACGUGACCGCAACCUCUUGUUGCCUUUAUUUUUAAAGCGUAGAAUUACUAUUUUUCGGAAUAGUACUUUUUACGUUGAAAAAGGCUUUAAAACUAGAGGGACCGCUGUUCUAUUUUCUUAAACCAGAGGAAGAUUGCGGCAAUAACAGGUCUGUG